GACGAACCGUGCGAACGUUGUUCGGAAUCACUGGGCUUAAAGGGCGCGUAGGCGGGCCGGCCGGUCCGGGGUGAAAGCCCCCCGCCCAACGGGGGAAUCGCCUGGGAUACCGCCGGCCUGGAGGGAGGCAGGGGCAGCUGGAACUUCCGGUGGAGCGGUGAAAUGUGUUGAUAUCGGAAGGAACUCCGGUGGCGAAAGCGGGCUGCUGGACCUCGCCUGACGCUGAGGCGCGAAAGCCAGGGGAGCGAACGGG
RNAcentral lists this ribosomal RNA (253 nucleotides) under uncultured bacterium. Its description in RNAcentral is "partial 16S ribosomal RNA". It matches the Rfam family "Bacterial small subunit ribosomal RNA", at positions 524 to 776 of the family's 1533-position model. RNAcentral also lists the same sequence under 1 other name. The record is from RNAcentral.